UACGAAGGGGGCUAGCGUUGUUCGGAAUUACUGGGCGUAAAGCGUAUGCAGGCGGAUCGUUAAGUCGGGGGUGAAAUCCCGAGGCUCAACCUCGGAACUGCCUUCGAUACUGGCGACCUUCGAGUCCGGGAGAGGUGAGUGGAACUCCGAGUGUAGAGGUGAAAUUCGUAGAUAUUCGGAAGAACACCAGUGGCGAAGGCGGCUCACUGGCCCGGUACUGACGCUGAGACGCGAAAGCGUGGGGAGCGAACCGG
RNAcentral lists this ribosomal RNA (254 nucleotides) under uncultured bacterium. RNAcentral's name for it is "partial 16S ribosomal RNA". It matches the Rfam family "Bacterial small subunit ribosomal RNA", at positions 524 to 776 of the family's 1533-position model. The record is from RNAcentral.